CAACCAUCAAGCCCCAGGCUUGUGUUGGGGCCCUGCGGCUGCCGCAGGCCCUGAAAAACAGUGGCGGGCUCGCUGUCACACCGAGCGUAGUAAUACAUCUCGCUUUGGACGUGCAGCGGGUUCUUGCCGUUAAACACCCCCCUUCUCAA
This 149-nucleotide unclassified non-coding RNA is filed under the name uncultured Lasiosphaeriaceae. RNAcentral describes it as "partial internal transcribed spacer 2". Lineage: Eukaryota; Fungi; Ascomycota; Sordariomycetes; Sordariales; Lasiosphaeriaceae. The record is from RNAcentral.